GACGAACGCUGGCGGCGUGCUUAAUACAUGCAAGUCGACUGAACUUAAGGUAGCAAUAUUUUAAGGGAGGUGGCGCACGGGUGAGUAACACGUAGGUAAUCUGCCUUUAGGACUGACAUAACUCCGCGAAAGCGGAGCUAAUUUCAGAUGAUGCAGCGGCUCGACAUCGAGACAGUUGUUAAACCUUCGGGGCCUAAAGAUGAGCCUGCGUCUGAUUAGGUAGUUGGCGGAGUAAUAGCCCACCAAGCCAUCGAUCAGUAGCUGGUCUGAGAGGAUGAUCAGCCACACUGGAACUGAGACACGGUCCAGACUCCUACGGGAGGCAGCAGUAAGGAUAUUGCUCAAUGGCCGAAAGGCUGAAGCAGCAACGCCGCGUGGAGGAUGAAAUACUUUUGUAUGUAAACUCCUGUAAGAAGGGAAAAUAACAGAUUUUCUGUGUUGAUUGUACCUUCAGAGUAAGCCCCGGCUAACUACGUGCC
This 479-nucleotide ribosomal RNA is filed under the name uncultured bacterium. RNAcentral's name for it is "bacterial SSU rRNA". It matches the Rfam family "Bacterial small subunit ribosomal RNA", at positions 28 to 509 of the family's 1533-position model. The record is from RNAcentral.